AAGGGGGGCAACUCCCAAGUAGAGCGGCGAACGGGUGAGUAACGCGUGGGUAAUCUGCCUUCGAGUGGGGAAUAACAUCGGGAAGCUGGUGCUAAUACCGCAUAAUAUCCCAGGGCCUUCGGGUCUUGGGAUCAAAGCUGGGGACCGCAAGGCCUAGCGCUUGAAGAGGAGCCCGCGUCCGAUUAGCUAGUUGGCGGGGUAACGGCCCACCAAGGCUACGAUCGGUAGCCGGCCUGAGAGGGCGGACGGCCACACUGGGACUGAGACACGGCCCAGACUCCUACGGGAGGCAGCAGUGGGGAAUUUUUCGCAAUGGGGGCAACCCUGACGAAGCAACGCCGCGUGGAGGAUGAAGGCCUUCGGG
RNAcentral lists this ribosomal RNA (364 nucleotides) under uncultured bacterium. Its description in RNAcentral is "bacterial SSU rRNA". It matches the Rfam family "Bacterial small subunit ribosomal RNA", at positions 72 to 422 of the family's 1533-position model. The record is from RNAcentral.